Macrobrachium nipponense is the source of this 410-nucleotide long non-coding RNA. RefSeq lists it as uncharacterized. The transcript is spliced from 2 exons. NCBI's taxonomy places the organism in Eukaryota, Metazoa, Arthropoda, Malacostraca, Decapoda, Palaemonidae. The record is from RefSeq and is a predicted model, not a curated record.
GGAACCCUAUGGUCCGUUGCAAGAAGUGUGACUCCAAGGCAGACAAAAAGACACGUUUCAGGUGUCACAGCUGCCGCCAACCUGUUUGCCCGAGCCACUACUUCCCCUACUGCUGUGAUUGCAUAUAAGGCUGAGUUCCCGCAUCCCCCGUGCCUUGAUGACCCCCUGGGAUGAGAGCCUGACAUCCUUGGAAGCGUGUGGGAGCAUCUGAGCGAUUUUUUGGGGAGGGUUUUUUUUUGCUUAAUUUUUUUGCAAAAACAUUCAAAUUUUUUCACUUUUUUACAUUCCUUUCUUUUUGCUUUUUAAUUCAAGUUUCUGAAAGUAAGUAUUCUAAUUUAAUAGUUUCAUUACUAGGUAAUAGGGUUAUAUUUAGUGUGUAAGGGAUAGGAUUAAUAAAUUUGCAUAUUUAC